This 468-nucleotide ribosomal RNA is filed under the name uncultured bacterium. Its description in RNAcentral is "partial 16S ribosomal RNA". It matches the Rfam family "Bacterial small subunit ribosomal RNA", at positions 28 to 507 of the family's 1533-position model. The record is from RNAcentral.
GACGAACGCUGGCGGCGUGCUUAACACAUGCAAGUCGAACGGAAAGGCCCUGCUUUUGUGGGGUGCUCGAGUGGCGAACGGGUGAGUAACACGUGAGUAACCUGCCCUUGACUUUGGGAUAACUUCAGGAAACUGGGGCUAAUACCGGAUAGGAGCUCCUGCUGCAUGGUGGGGGUUGGAAAGUUUCGGCGGUUGGGGAUGGACUCGCGGCUUAUCAGCUUGUUGGUGGGGUAGUGGCUUACCAAGGCUUUGACGGGUAGCCGGCCUGAGAGGGUGACCGGGCACAUUGGGACUGAGAUACGGGCCAGACUCCUACGGGAGGCAGCAGUGGGGAAUAUUGCACAAUGGGCGGAGGCCUGAGGCAGCAACGCCGCGUGCGGGAUGACGGCCUUCGGGUUGUAAACCGCGUUCGCCUGUGACGAAGCGUGAGUGAGGGGAAUGUGUAGAGAGGCACCGGGUAACUACGUG